Molecule: ribosomal RNA, 381 nt
Filed under: uncultured eukaryote
Lineage: Eukaryota
Description: partial 18S ribosomal RNA
Rfam family: Eukaryotic small subunit ribosomal RNA
Source: RNAcentral
CAAUAGCGUAUAUUAAAGCUGUUGCGGUUAAAAAGCUCGUAGUUGGAUUUCUGUCAAGGACAACUGGUCCGCCCUCCGGGUGAGCACAUAGUUUGGUCUUGGCAUCUUGCUGGAAGCUGUUGCUGCACUUGGCUGUGUGGCGCAGCGUCCAGCACUUUCACUUUGAGGAAAUUGGAGUGUUUCAAGCAGGCACAUGCCUUUGGACACAGUAGCAUGGAAUAAUUAGAUCGGGCUUUUGCUCCAAUUUGUCGGUUUCUGGAGCUGAGGUGAGAAUUAAUGGGGAUUGUUGGGGGCAUCCGAAUUUAGCCGUCAGAGGUGAAAUUCUUGGAUCUGCUAAAGACGGACAACUGCGAAAGCGUUUGCCCAGGAUGUUUUCAUUGA